CCACCUUUUUGGGCAGAAACUGAUAUGGGAAUAUUUCGUCAGAUACUGCGAGGCAAACUAGAUUUAGAAUCUGAACCUUGGCCUGGAAUUUCAGAUAGUGCAAAGGAUUUGAUACGCAAAAUUCUUGAUAGGAAUCCAAAGAGGAGGUUAACUGCCCAUGAAGUUUUGUGCCAUCCGUGGAUCGUGGAUGACUCAAUGACCCCUGAUAAACCUCUUGAUUCUG
Molecule: unclassified non-coding RNA, 223 nt
Filed under: Hevea brasiliensis (rubber tree)
Lineage: Eukaryota; Viridiplantae; Streptophyta; Magnoliopsida; Malpighiales; Euphorbiaceae
Source: RNAcentral